This 301-nucleotide ribosomal RNA is filed under the name uncultured bacterium. Its description in RNAcentral is "partial 16S ribosomal RNA". It matches the Rfam family "Bacterial small subunit ribosomal RNA", at positions 509 to 809 of the family's 1533-position model. The record is from RNAcentral.
CAGUCGCCACGGGAAUACAGAGGGUGCGAGCGUUAAUCGGAUUUACUGGGCGUAAAGCGUGCGUAGGCGGCUUCUUAAGUCGGAUGUGAAAUCCCUGAGCUUAACUUAGGAAUUGCAUUCGAUACUGGGAAGCUAGAGUAUGGGAGAGGAUGGUAGAAUUCCAGGUGUAGCGGUGAAAUGCGUAGAGAUCUGGAGGAAUACCGAUGGCGAAGGCAGCCAUCUGGCCUAAUACUGACGCUGAGGUACGAAAGCAUGGGGAGCAAACAGGAUUAGAUACACCAGUAGUCCCUGUCUCUUAUAA